UUAAAUACUGAAUUGGGUCCCAUUAGGACCUGCAGGACAACUUCCACGAAUAAUAUAAUAAUAUAAUAAUAAUAAUA
This is a long non-coding RNA of Aricia agestis (brown argus), 77 nucleotides long. RefSeq lists it as uncharacterized. Lineage: Eukaryota; Metazoa; Arthropoda; Insecta; Lepidoptera; Lycaenidae. The transcript is spliced from 3 exons. The record is from RefSeq and is a predicted model, not a curated record.